RNAcentral lists this ribosomal RNA (2650 nucleotides) under Vibrio cholerae. RNAcentral describes it as "partial 23S ribosomal RNA". It matches the Rfam family "Bacterial large subunit ribosomal RNA". Lineage: Bacteria; Pseudomonadati; Pseudomonadota; Gammaproteobacteria; Vibrionales; Vibrionaceae. The record is from RNAcentral.
CGCGAAGCGGCGAGCGAACCUGGAUUAGCCCUUAAGCACUCGGUGAAGUAGGUGAACAAGCUGGAAAGCUUGGCGAUACAGGGUGAUAGCCCCGUAACCGACGCUUCAUCGAGCGUGAAAUCGAGUAGGGCGGGACACGUGAUAUCCUGUCUGAAUAUGGGGGGACCAUCCUCCAAGGCUAAAUACUCCUGACUGACCGAUAGUGAACCAGUACCGUGAGGGAAAGGCGAAAAGAACCCCUGUGAGGGGAGUGAAAUAGAACCUGAAACCGUGUACGUACAAGCAGUAGGAGCACCUUCGUGGUGUGACUGCGUACCUUUUGUAUAAUGGGUCAGCGACUUAUAUUCAGUGGCAAGGUUAACCGUAUAGGGGAGCCGUAGCGAAAGCGAGUCUUAACUGGGCGCUCAGUCUCUGGAUAUAGACCCGAAACCGGGUGAUCUAGCCAUGGGCAGGUUGAAGGUUGAGUAACAUCAACUGGAGGACCGAACCGACUAAUGUUGAAAAAUUAGCGGAUGACUUGUGGCUAGGGGUGAAAGGCCAAUCAAACUCGGAGAUAGCUGGUUCUCCCCGAAAGCUAUUUAGGUAGCGCCUCGGACGAAUACUACUGGGGGUAGAGCACUGUUAAGGCUAGGGGGUCAUCCCGACUUACCAACCCUUUGCAAACUCCGAAUACCAGUAAGUACUAUCCGGGAGACACACGGCGGGUGCUAACGUCCGUCGUGGAGAGGGAAACAACCCAGACCGCCAGCUAAGGUCCCAAAGUAUUGCUAAGUGGGAAACGAUGUGGGAAGGCUCAGACAGCUAGGAUGUUGGCUUAGAAGCAGCCAUCAUUUAAAGAAAGCGUAAUAGCUCACUAGUCGAGUCGGCCUGCGCGGAAGAUGUAACGGGGCUAAGCAAUACACCGAAGCUGCGGCAAUGUCUUUUAGACAUUGGGUAGGGGAGCGUUCUGUAAGCCGUUGAAGGUGAAUCGUAAGGUUUGCUGGAGGUAUCAGAAGUGCGAAUGCUGACAUGAGUAACGACAAAGGGGGUGAAAAACCUCCUCGCCGGAAGACCAAGGGUUCCUGUCCAACGUUAAUCGGGGCAGGGUGAGUCGACCCCUAAGGUGAGGCCGAAAGGCGUAAUCGAUGGGAAACGGGUUAAUAUUCCCGUACUUCUGACUAUUGCGAUGGGGGGACGGAGAAGGCUAGGUGGGCCAGGCGACGGUUGUCCUGGUUCAAGUGCGUAGGCUUGAGAGUUAGGUAAAUCCGGCUCUCUCUAAGGCUGAGACACGACGUCGAGCUACUACGGUAGUGAAGUCAUUGAUGCCAUGCUUCCAGGAAAAGCCUCUAAGCUUCAGAUAGUCAGGAAUCGUACCCCAAACCGACACAGGUGGUCGGGUAGAGAAUACCAAGGCGCUUGAGAGAACUCGGGUGAAGGAACUAGGCAAAAUGGUACCGUAACUUCGGGAGAAGGUACGCUCUUGAUGGUGAAGUCCCUCGCGGAUGGAGCUGACGAGAGUCGCAGAUACCAGGUGGCUGCAACUGUUUAUUAAAAACACAGCACUGUGCAAAAUCGCAAGAUGACGUAUACGGUGUGACGCCUGCCCGGUGCCGGAAGGUUAAUUGAUGGGGUUAGCGCAAGCGAAGCUCUUGAUCGAAGCCCCGGUAAACGGCGGCCGUAACUAUAACGGUCCUAAGGUAGCGAAAUUCCUUGUCGGGUAAGUUCCGACCUGCACGAAUGGCGUAAUGAUGGCCACGCUGUCUCCACCCGAGACUCAGUGAAAUUGAAAUCGCUGUGAAGAUGCAGUGUACCCGCGGCUAGACGGAAAGACCCCGUGAACCUUUACUACAGCUUGGCACUGAACAUUGAACCUACAUGUGUAGGAUAGGUGGGAGGCUAUGAAGACGUGACGCCAGUUGCGUUGGAGCCGUCCUUGAAAUACCACCCUUGUAUGUUUGAUGUUCUAACUUAGACCCAUUAUCUGGGUUGAGGACAGUGCCUGGUGGGUAGUUUGACUGGGGCGGUCUCCUCCCAAAGAGUAACGGAGGAGCACGAAGGUGGGCUAAUCACGGUUGGACAUCGUGAGGUUAGUGCAAUGGCAUAAGCCCGCUUAACUGCGAGAAUGACGGUUCGAGCAGGUGCGAAAGCAGGUCAUAGUGAUCCGGUGGUUCUGUAUGGAAGGGCCAUCGCUCAACGGAUAAAAGGUACUCCGGGGAUAACAGGCUGAUACCGCCCAAGAGUUCAUAUCGACGGCGGUGUUUGGCACCUCGAUGUCGGCUCAUCACAUCCUGGGGCUGAAGUCGGUCCCAAGGGUAUGGCUGUUCGCCAUUUAAAGUGGUACGCGAGCUGGGUUUAGAACGUCGUGAGACAGUUCGGUCCCUAUCUGCCGUGGGCGUUGGAAGAUUGAAGGGGGCUGCUCCUAGUACGAGAGGACCGGAGUGGACGAACCUCUGGUGUUCGGGUUGUGUCGCCAGACGCAUUGCCCGGUAGCUAAGUUCGGAAUUGAUAAGCGCUGAAAGCAUCUAAGCGCGAAGCGAGCCCUGAGAUGAGUCUUCCCUGAUACUUUAAGUAUCCUAAAGGGUUGUUCGAGACUAGAACGUUGAUAGGCAGGGUGUGUAAGCGUUGUGAGGCGUUGAGCUAACCUGUACUAAUUGCCCGUGAGGCUUAACCA